This is a non-coding RNA of Cricetulus griseus (Chinese hamster), 62 nucleotides long. NCBI's taxonomy places the organism in Eukaryota, Metazoa, Chordata, Mammalia, Rodentia, Cricetidae. The record is from Rfam.
UAGGACAGUCAGGGCCAGGUGCCUCCCCCUGAGCCCCGGGUAACUCUUAACGUCGGGGGGCA